CGGGGGGGUAACGCGUGAGAAUCUAGCUCUAGGUCGGGGACAACCACUGGAAACGGUGGCUAAUACCGGAUGAGCCGGAAGGUAAAAGAUUAAUUGCCUAGAGAUGAGCUCGCGUCUGAUUAGCUAGUUGGUGUGGUAAGAGCGCACCAAGGCGACGAUCAGUAGCUGGUCUGAGAGGAUGAUCAGCCACACUGGGACUGAGACACGGCCCAGACUCCUACGGGAGGCAGCAGUGGGGAAUUUUCCGCAAUGGGCGAAAGCCUGACGGAGCAAUACCGCGUGAGGGAGGAAGGCUCUUGGGUUGUAAACCUCUUUUCUCAAGGAAUAAGUUCUGAAGGUACUUGAGGAAUAAGCAUCGGCUAACUCCGUGCCAGCAGCCGCGGUAAUACGGAGGAUGCAAGCGUUAUCCGGAAUGAUUGGGCGUAAAGGGUCCGCAGGUGGCAUUGAAAGUCUGCUGUUAAAGAGUGAGGCUUAACCUCAUAAAAGCAGUGGAAACUACAAAGCUAGAGUGCGUUCGGGGUAGCAGGAAUUCCUGGUGUAGCGGUGAAAUGCGUAGAGAUCAGGAAGAACACCGGUGGCGAAA
RNAcentral lists this ribosomal RNA (583 nucleotides) under Nostoc sp. LCRSM-24105. Its description in RNAcentral is "bacterial SSU rRNA". It matches the Rfam family "Bacterial small subunit ribosomal RNA", at positions 103 to 720 of the family's 1533-position model. Lineage: Bacteria; Bacillati; Cyanobacteriota; Cyanophyceae; Nostocales; Nostocaceae. The record is from RNAcentral.